GGGUGCAAGAUUUUUUUUUAUUGUCCAAGAUUUUUUUGGGGGGGUGCAAGAUUUUUUUUUGUGGUGCAAGAUUUUUUUUAGGGCGCAAGAUUUUUUUUUGUGGUGCAAAAUUUUUUUUGUGGUGCAAGAUAUUUUUUUCGGGUGCAUGAUUUUUUCUUAUGGUAGAAGAAUUUUUUGGGGGGUGCAAGAUUUUUUUUUUGUGGUGCAAGAUUUUUUUUGUGGUGCAAGGUUUUUUGGGGGGUGCAAGAUUUUUUUUUUUGCCCCCAGAUUUUUGUUCGGGUGCAAGAUUUUUUUUAUGGUGCAAACUUUUUUGGGGGAGUGCAAGAUUUAUUUUUUGCGGUGCAAGAUAUUUUUUCGGGUGCAAGAUUUUUUUUAUGGUGCAAGAUUUUUUUGGGGGGAUGCAAGAUUUUUUUGGGGGGGUGGAAGAUUUUUUUUGUGGUGCAAGAUUUUUUUUGUAGUGCAAGAUAUUUUUUCGGCCGCAAGAUUUUUUUAUGGUGCAAGAUUUUUUUGGGGGUGCAAGAUUUUUUUUGUG
Molecule: non-coding RNA, 532 nt
Organism: Paramuricea clavata
Lineage: Eukaryota; Metazoa; Cnidaria; Anthozoa; Malacalcyonacea; Plexauridae
Source: the annotation of a GenBank genome assembly